Pantherophis guttatus is the source of this 587-nucleotide long non-coding RNA. RefSeq lists it as uncharacterized. The record is from RefSeq and is a predicted model, not a curated record. Lineage: Eukaryota; Metazoa; Chordata; Lepidosauria; Squamata; Colubridae.
AGAGAGAGAGAGAGAGAGAGUACAUACUCUCUUAUGAUGUCAUAUGUCUUUUAGAACUUCAGGAGGUUAUCUCAGAAGGUAUUUAUACUUUCAUUCUGCACUAUGAAAGCCAUAAGUAUUCCUUAACUAUGUAAUUUGAUUUACUGGAUCUGCUUUGACAAAUACAGAACUUGCAUGGAACAAGUCUAUCUCAUUUUGAAGAAAGGAGAUACUUCGGGAGGAAUAUACCAUGAGAACAAUACACAGCUGCUGCUGUAUAGAGAUAUCUAAUUGUCAAUAUUGUGGAAUUUCUACAGCUUAUUACUUGCAUUCAGUCUAAUUCUGGGCAAAUUGCCAGUCACUUCAGGGAUGUUCAAGUGAGCCAUAAUACACGUGAUUCGACAUCACAGCUUUAAGAUACCCGACUGUUUUCCCUCUGGCCAAGGAAUGUGUGUACCAAUGCUACCAAGUGAAAGGGAAGAAUCUGAUGACAAAUAAAAUAAAAUUUGUAUUUUUUUUUCAAGUGGGCUGCAUUUCAAGCCCAGAUGUUAGUAAUGAAAGAUUCAAUUUAAGGAUUUAAAUUACAAAUAAAUAAAGUAUGAAACAGA